AAGAGCGGGAGUCUCAGAUUAGCAACCUGCAGACAUCUCGCCACACUCUGGAGAACCAGCUGCAGCAGGCCAAGACUGAGCUGGAGGAGACAACUGCAGAGGCUGAGGAGGAGAUCACUGUACUCAGAGCACAUAGAGAUGAGAUUCAACGCAAGUAUGAUGCCCUGAGAGACAGCUGCGCAGUGAUCACAGACCUGGAGGAGCAGCUGACCUCACUGACCCAGG
Molecule: long non-coding RNA, 225 nt
Organism: Nematolebias whitei (Rio pearlfish)
Lineage: Eukaryota; Metazoa; Chordata; Actinopteri; Cyprinodontiformes; Rivulidae
Exons: 3
Source: RefSeq, a predicted model, not a curated record